CCCUUGGUGGUCCAGUGGCUAAGACUCUGCGCUCCUAAUGCAGGGGGUCCCGGGUUCAAUCCCUGGUCAGGGAA
Molecule: non-coding RNA, 74 nt
Organism: Ovis aries (sheep)
Lineage: Eukaryota; Metazoa; Chordata; Mammalia; Artiodactyla; Bovidae
Source: Rfam